AAUGCAUUUUCAUGCUGAACUUUACUACAAGAUCACUGUACAACUCAGGAGAAAACACGUAAACUGGUUUGCUGGCACAUCAACAGAUCCCAUUUAACAAAGGACUAUCAAGUUUUUCUGAAUACAGGAAGCAUUUUUUGUAAGUAAAGCUACUACUAAGUAGUUGCCAUGGUAACUCAAUGUGGGUUGUUACCCAAGUUUAAGGUUUCAUGAAACGGAAAUCUGAAAAAAGGAAAAGAAAUCAACCUCCUUUCACAGAUUCAAAUCAACCAGAGACCUAAAGAAGCAAACUACUGCAGAGAAACCGAAGAUGUCUAGAAAAAUACCAAGUCUCUGUGUAGCUCUGCUCCUCAUCCUCACCUCGGCACAAGCAGCACGACAAACUCUCAACUCCAUCAGUGACAUAAAACGUUGUGUUCCUCAGUCCAACAUUUUAGAGCUGCUUCGCUGGUUUGCCGAUAUGGUCAAUAUUGACCAUUAUGGUACCAUGAGGGUGACGUUCAAUCCAAACUCUGAAUAUGGUUCACAUCAUUACGGCAACUACGAAGGCAUAUUGGAUCGACCUUCUUGGGGGUACAGAUACUACACAGUUGGUAACCUUCAUGAAGACUCAUCAGAACGGCUCCCUUCUUAUGUACGAAACGCCUGGUCAGGAACCGAUGGAUGGAGCAGAGCUCGGAUCGUAUUUAGCGCCACACAAACCAACGGGAGAUGGAAUAUACAACAAAUCUACAUCACACAGCAUAGAGACAGUUCUGUACAUAAUGACACCAGUUAUGAUCCACACCACACAUACCAGAUCACCACCAACCUUUUACGAGAAUUCAGAGGAUGGCCCAUUUCGGAAAUCCAACAGCAUAGCAUUUACUCCCAGAGAAGCAAUUUUGGAAACAGAUCUACUUAUCAGCAACAAUCCUACUCUAACAGGCACAGUCUUCAGUCUAGUCAAAGAACUGAUGAAGGUUCCCUGUUCAACGUGUGUAUGGCUGUGGCACUAUGUAUUUGUAUCUGUAUUAUCACUGUUUUCCUAAGUAUUGGAGGUAAAUAAUACCUAUUUACCCAGACACUGUUCAAUCCAAACAGUAAAUGUGUUGCUUUCAAAAUAUCAAUGAUAAAAACAGUCAAAAUGUCUGGAAAACCAGAUAUCAGAAGUGACAUGUCCGAGUAUUGCUGAAAUCCAACAACUUGGCAGAAGGUCCAGAGAGGGAAUGGUUCUACCCGUCCACAAGGAUCUCCCAUUCGAUACAUCCAAGAAACUUGAUAUAACUCAAAUACAAAACACAAUGAUGACUUUCUGAUGAGAUUCUGCGUUGCCAUUCUUUUGAUCUGUUGUUUUGGUUUUGUCAUUCUUAUGAAUUACUGCAAAUCAGACAAUAUUUCCAGUCACUGAACAGAACUGUAAACAUGAUGUUUUGCCAAUGGAAAAAAAUAUAGAAAAUCAUAAAUCAAAAUAAAGAAAAGUGCGUAAAUGUGAAUUUGCCUGAAAAACUAUAUUUGUGAUAAAGGAAUCAGUGUGAAUUUUAUCUAAAUGUGCUAUAAAUGUAAUUACAAGC
Long non-coding RNA from Poecilia latipinna (sailfin molly), 1553 nucleotides. RefSeq lists it as uncharacterized. The record is from RefSeq and is a predicted model, not a curated record. NCBI's taxonomy places the organism in Eukaryota, Metazoa, Chordata, Actinopteri, Cyprinodontiformes, Poeciliidae. The transcript is spliced from 2 exons.